UUUUACUGUAAAAAUUGUUGAGGUAUUACAGAACCAGUGGUGGAAACAGUGAGUGGAUACCACGGCUUGCAGUGGUUCAACCUAAUCAAGCUUAUAUUUGUUGCCGGUGCCAGUUAAAUCGACUGUUUGACUCGAUCAACCACUCAUUUGGUAUGUUGGAGAUUUGAAGGAAGGAAAUAUGAGCUUGCUAAGAAGUUAAAGACGAUUGUAUAAAGGAAGGAAAGCGUUUGCCUGAGGGUCUUUAUACGUUGCGAAGAUGGGAGACCCUUCUGUGGAGGUUGCCGAUGAUAACCGUGAUGCUUCGCAUUCAGCUAAGGCCAAAGCCGUGGAUGCCAUUUCUGAAGCCAGUGUUUACAUUAAGAUGAAAAAGCCCAAUGCUGCUAUUCGAGAUGCCAAUGCUGCUUUGGAGGAAUCUCCUUGGUGAAGAGUUGGGUCUAUUGAACUCAAAGGAGCUUGAGCAUCAACUAGAGCCAUCCUUGAAACAUGUCCGCUCCACCAAGACUAGUCAAGCUAUGGCAAGUGCUCUCAAUGUUGUACAAACAUCUCAUUCGUAUGGGGAUUUAAUGCUCCUAAUGAAAGCUGCUGAACUGCAACAAGUGUGUGCUUCUCUUGGUGGUUUUUUUUACUACUUUUUUAAGUGAUAAAACUUAUGUUAACUUUGUGAGGAAUCGGGUCUCGUAACACGUGAUUCAUCUGAAUAUCUAUUUGUUUUAGUGUUAAUAAUUCUUUUAACAUAAAUUUUGCGGGAAAGGCCCUGGAGUUAUAUGGUUGAAAUGGCCAGGAUUGAAUCGGUGAGUCCAAUUUGAAUCUCUUAUUCGUCUUUCCAUAAAAAUACAUUUGUAUUUGAACUUGAACUUGAUGGUUUACCGAUCAUUCCACUCUUAUCAGAGCUGAUAUGCUCAAUUGUUUUUACUCUUAAAAUUAAUCACUCGUAGGUUUACAGGGAAGUUGAGUUCCUUCUAGCUGUGACGAGGUAUUGCAGAGAAUAAGUUAAGAUAGUAACCACUAUUCAUGCAAGCUUGUGAAUUAGCAUUUGCCGAAUGUUAUGUUACAAAUGGAAUGCAAGCCCUGUGGUUUAUUUUAAGGUUUAAAUAUUGUUAUGAAUGUUACGGUUUAUUUUAAGGUUUAUGGUUUACCGAUCAUUCCAUUCUUAUCAGAGCUUUGAGUUCAUUACAAGAUUUUCUUGAUUAAGUUAAUGUAUUAUAUCUUUUAUUACCUUGCAAUAUGUAUAGUCAUAGGCAGGUUCAACUAGUCAGUCUGUUUCUCAUAGGUAUUA
Gossypium raimondii (Peruvian cotton) is the source of this 1276-nucleotide RNA transcript. RefSeq lists it as uncharacterized. The record is from RefSeq and is a predicted model, not a curated record. NCBI's taxonomy places the organism in Eukaryota, Viridiplantae, Streptophyta, Magnoliopsida, Malvales, Malvaceae. The transcript has 6 exons.